GCCNGCAUAGAGCAUACAUGCAAGUCGAGCGAACAGAUAAGGAGCUUGCUCCUUUGACGUUAGCGGCGGACGGGUGAGUAACACGUGGGUAACCUACCUAUAAGACUGGGAUAACUUCGGGAAACCGGAGCUAAUACCGGAUAACAUUUGGAACCGCAUGGUUCUAAAGUGAAAGAUGGUUUUGCUAUCACUUAUAGAUGGACCCGCGCCGUAUUAGCUAGUUGGUAAGGUAACGGCUUACCAAGGCAACGAUACGUAGCCGACCUGAGAGGGUGAUCGGCCACACUGGAACUGAGACACGGUCCAGACUCCUACGGGAGGCAGCAGUAGGGAAUCUUCCGCAAUGGGCGAAAGCCUGACGGAGCAACGCCGCGUGAGUGAUGAAGGGUUUCGGCUCGUAAAACUCUGUUAUUAGGGAAGAACAAACGUGUAAGUAACUGUGCACGUCUUGACGGUACCUAAUCAGAAAGCCACGGCUAACUACGUGCCAGCAGCCGCGGUAAUACGUAGGUGGCAAGCGUUAUCCGGAAUUAUUGGGCGUAAAGCGCGCGUAGGCGGUUUCUUAAGUCUGAUGUGAAAGCCCACGGCUCAACCGUGGAGGGUCAUUGGAAACUGGGAAACUUGAGUGCAGAAGAGGAAAGUGGAAUUCCAUGUGUAGCGGUGAAAUGCGCAGAGAUAUGGAGGAACACCAGUGGCGAAGGCGACUUUCUGGUCUGUAACUGACGCUGAUGUGCGAAAGCGUGGGGAUCAAACAGGAUUAGAUACCCUGGUAGUCCACGCCGUAAACGAUGAGUGCUAAGUGUUAGGGGGUUUCCGCCCCUUAGUGCUGCAGCUAACGCAUUAAGCACUCCGCCUGGGGAGUACGACCGCAAGGUUGAAACUCAAAGGAAUUGACGGGGACCCGCACAAGCGGUGGAGCAUGUGGUUUAAUUCGAAGCAACGCGAAGAACCUUACCAAAUCUUGACAUCCUUUGAAAACUCUAGAGAUAGAGCCUUCCCCUUCGGGGGACAAAGUGACAGGUGGUGCAUGGUUGUCGUCAGCUCGUGUCGUGAGAUGUUGGGUUAAGUCCCGCAACGAGCGCAACCCUUAAGCUUAGUUGCCAUCAUUAAGUUGGGCACUCUAGGUUGACUGCCGGUGACAAACCGGAGGAAGGUGGGGAUGACGUCAAAUCAUCAUGCCCCUUAUGAUUUGGGCUACACACGUGCUACAAUGGACAAUACAAAGGGCAGCUAAACCGCGAGGUCAUGCAAAUCCCAUAAAGUUGUUCUCAGUUCGGAUUGUAGUCUGCAACUCGACUACAUGAAGCUGGAAUCGCUAGUAAUCGUAGAUCAGCAUGCUACGGUGAAUACGUUCCCGGGUCUUGUACACACCGCCCGUCACACCACGAGAGUUUGUAACACCCGAAGCCGGUGGAGUAACCAUUUAUGGAGCUAGCCGUCGAAGGAGACCAUUGG
RNAcentral lists this ribosomal RNA (1455 nucleotides) under Staphylococcus saprophyticus. Its description in RNAcentral is "bacterial SSU rRNA". It matches the Rfam family "Bacterial small subunit ribosomal RNA". Lineage: Bacteria; Bacillati; Bacillota; Bacilli; Caryophanales; Staphylococcaceae. The record is from RNAcentral.